UAAUAAAGACCUUAAUAUUUGUGCACUAUAGUGCUAAUUGCAACAACAUUUUCACCGUAAUUAGUACGAUUGUGAACUAGGGUAACGAUUUGAACUCUGUAUCAAAACGACGCAACCGUAUUGAGUUUAGGCUUUUUAGAAUUGCUCUCAUGAGUAAAUGAUAAACGUUUUAAAAUAAAAGUACAUCAGUAGUCGUUAAAUCCUUGUAUCAGAAACACAUUAGUUCAUAAAAAACUUAUCGCCAUUUUCUUGUAAUCAUGUAGGUGAGUAACUCAGACAAAAGUAGGAUUAGCUUAUAUGUCGUUCGUACACGCGUACAAAUACUAAUUAAAGCAAACAACACAGAAAACUAGUAAGAGCCUUAAGAAAAAUAACUUUAUACCUUAUAAAUCCGAUAAUUAUACCCUAUCGCUUUUACAUACGCAAGUAAAUAAAUUUUGAGUAAGCCAAGCAUAAUUAAACCUUAUUCAUAUGGUAUUAAGAAGUUUUCAACUGAACGCGACAUCACAUUUGUCACACAAGUACAAAAACUGCGUUGCUAAAUUUAAAAGCUACAACUCCUAAUUAAUCUCUAUUCAAAUUUAUACCUUAAUACAACUAGUGAAGUUCGAAUUUCGAGUGUUACACGGGUUUAGUUACGUCUCUUCGUCUUCGAUGUUGUCCAUCACAAUGCUGCGUCACUCAGUCUUAUCUUGAAGCGCAAUGAAGAUUGCAGUGAUUUUUGUAUUCAUUAUUUUGGCGAUAUCACACUUUGGCUUUUCUGACACGAGAAGUUACCAUGAUACCUAUUUCGUUGGUGUUAUGAAGAGCCUGAGAUCCGGAAGGGGAAGAAAACCGAUGUUAAAAGUGUUGCUUCUCAAAGGGAAAAGUAAAAAAAAAGUUGAUUUCCAUUCAAGCAACUGGAGCAAAAUGGAGUGGGUGGAUAGCCGAAGACGGAUAAUUCCAAUUAUUUUAAACAAAUAGAAUUAAACGAAACAAA
Molecule: long non-coding RNA, 979 nt
Organism: Cydia splendana
Lineage: Eukaryota; Metazoa; Arthropoda; Insecta; Lepidoptera; Tortricidae
Exons: 4
Source: RefSeq, a predicted model, not a curated record